RNAcentral lists this ribosomal RNA (506 nucleotides) under uncultured bacterium. RNAcentral describes it as "partial 16S ribosomal RNA". It matches the Rfam family "Bacterial small subunit ribosomal RNA", at positions 28 to 523 of the family's 1533-position model. The record is from RNAcentral.
GAUGAACGCUAGCUACAGGCUUAACACAUGCAAGUCGAGGGGUAACGAGAGGGAAGCUUGCUUUCCUUGUCGACGACCGGCGCACGGGUGAGUAACGCGUGUCCAACCUGCCCCCAACUAGGGAAUAACCUUGCGAAAGUAAGACUAAUACCCUAUAAUUUCCUCAGAUGUCAUCUGACGAGGAAUAAAGAUUUAUCGGUUGUGGAUGGGGAUGCGUCUGAUUAGCUUGUUGGCGGGGUAACGGCCCACCAAGGCAACGAUCAGUAGGGGUUCUUAGAGUAAGGUCACCCACAUUUGAACUGAGACACGGUCCAAACUCCUACGGGAGGCAGCAGUGAGGAAUAUUGGUCAAUGGGCGGAAGCCUGAACCAGCCAAGUAGCGUUCAGGAUGACGGCCCUAUGGGUUGUAAACUGCUUUUAUACAGGAAUAAAGUUAGCCACGUGUGGUUAUUUGUAGGUACUGUAUGAAUAAGGACCGGCUAAUUCCGUGCCAGCCGCCGCGGUAA